CGGGAAUCUUCCGCAAUGGACGAAAGUCCGACGGAGCAACGCCGCGUGAGUGAUGAAGGUUUUCGGAUCGUAAAGCUCUGUUGCCAGGGAAGAACGUCCUCUAGAGUAACUGCUAGGGGAGUGACGGUACCUGAGAAGAAAGCCCCGGCUAACUACGUGCCAGCAGCCGCGGUAAUACGUAGGGGGCAAGCGUUGUCCGGAAUUAUUGGGCGUAAAGCGCGCGCAGGCGGCUGUUUAAGUCUGGUGUUUAAUCCUGGGGCUCAACUCCGGGUCGCACUGGAAACUGGGCAGCUUGAGUGCAGAAGAGGAGAGUGGAAUUCCACGUGUAGCGGUGAAAUGCGUAGAGAUGUGGAGGAACACCAGUGGCGAAGGCGACUCUCUGGGCUGUAACUGACGCUGAGGCGCGAAAGCGUGGGGAGCAAAC
This 424-nucleotide ribosomal RNA is filed under the name uncultured bacterium. Its description in RNAcentral is "bacterial SSU rRNA". It matches the Rfam family "Bacterial small subunit ribosomal RNA", at positions 356 to 773 of the family's 1533-position model. The record is from RNAcentral.